This is a non-coding RNA of Camellia sinensis, 608 nucleotides long. NCBI's taxonomy places the organism in Eukaryota, Viridiplantae, Streptophyta, Magnoliopsida, Ericales, Theaceae. The record is from RefSeq and is a predicted model, not a curated record.
AAAUUUGUAUUGAUAAUUCGGUUUUUUUGGAGGUCUGGCAGAUCAUUAGACAAGUCGAUUUCAACGCUUCAGAUGGAGCUGGCUGCUACUCGAAGUUCUGAAGAGAUGUGAAGAUCUGAUGAGUUCACUCACAUCUCUGAAUUGACUCAUGAGGGCUUGCCAAGGAAGAAGGCUUUCAUAGUUAUUGGAAUUAAUACUGCUUUUAGUAGUAGGAAGAGGCGCUAUUCGGUCAGACAAACUUGGAUGGCUCAAGAGAGAGACUUCUUCAAUUGGAACAAGAGAUUGGAAUUAACGUCCGGUUCGUGAUCGGCCAUAGGUGACAAACUCGAGAGUAGCUGAACAUAGGUGAGCUGCUGAUUAACUUUAAAUUUUAGCUGAAUUUUCUUCAGACUAAAUCUGACUUAUUACAAACUAGCUUUGUGGUCACAUUGUCCUGUAUAUUUAGCAUUCGAGUCACUAUAAGGAAGAAUAUGUUUCUCACCAUUUUCGAACCAUCAUGCUGUGACAGAAGUUGAUAUUGUGGUAUUUUCUUUUAAGUCACUAUUUCUGUAAUAUUUUGUAAUGCACUGAAAAUUAUAAUAAGGAUCAUUCACUAAAUGUUGCUUUUA